UAAACUAGGAUUNAUACCCUAUUAUUUUGAACUAGAUUAAUAUUACCAGGUUAGUAGUAGUUAUGUGCUUGAAAAUUAAAGAAGAUGGCGGUAUUUUAGUCUAUUCAGAGGAACCUGUCCUGUAAUCGAUGAUCCACGAUUUAUUAUACUUAUUUUAUAAGUUUGCAUAUCGCCGUAGGUGGAAUGUCCUUUAAGGGGUUUAAACAUUCAAGAGGUUUUUGCUUGUGAAAAUAAAUCAGGUCAAGAUGUAGCUAAUAAAUAAGAAGAGAUGGGUUACAAUAAAUUUAUUUAUA
Molecule: ribosomal RNA, 293 nt
Filed under: Galapaganus vandykei
Lineage: Eukaryota; Metazoa; Arthropoda; Insecta; Coleoptera; Curculionidae
Description: partial 12S ribosomal RNA
Source: RNAcentral